This 460-nucleotide ribosomal RNA is filed under the name uncultured bacterium. Its description in RNAcentral is "partial 16S ribosomal RNA". It matches the Rfam family "Bacterial small subunit ribosomal RNA", at positions 338 to 795 of the family's 1533-position model. The record is from RNAcentral.
CCUACGGGUGGCAGCAGUGAGGAAUAUUGGUCAAUGGACGAGAGUCUGAACCAGCCAAGUAGCGUGAAGGAUGACUGUCCUAUGGGUUGUAAACUUCUUUUAUAUGGGAAUAAAAUGUUCCACGUGUGGGAUUUUGUAUGUACCAUAUGAAUAAGGAUCGGCUAACUCCGUGCCAGCAGCCGCGGUAAUACGGAGGAUCCGAGCGUUAUCCGGAUUUAUUGGGUUUAAAGGGAGCGUAGGUGGAUUGUUAAGUCAGUUGUGAAAGUUUGCGGCUCAACCGUAAAAUUGCAGUUGAAACUGGCAGUCUUGAGUACAGUAGAGGUGGGCGGAAUUCGUGGUGUAGCGGUGAAAUGCUUAGAUAUCACGAAGAACUCCGAUUGCGAAGGCAGUUCACUGGACUGCAACUGACGCUGAGGCUCGAAAGUGUGGGUAUCAAACAGGAUUAGAUACCCUAGUAGUC